GACGAACGCUGGCGGCGUGCUUAACACAUGCAAGUCGAACGGAAAGGCCCUGCUUGCAGGGUACUCGAGUGGCGAACGGGUGAGUAACACGUGGGUGUUCUGCCCUGCACUUCGGGAUAAGCCUGGGAAACUGGGUCUAAUACCGGAUAGGAGCCAUUUUUAGUGUGAUGGUUGGAAAGUUUUUUCGGUGUAGGAUGAGCUCGCGGCCUAUCAGCUUGUUGGUGGGGUAAUGGCCUACCAAGGCGGCGACGGGUAGCCGGCCUGAGAGGGUGGACGGCCACAUUGGGACUGAGAUACGGCCCAGACUCCUACGGGAGGCAGCAGUGGGGAAUAUUGCACAAUGGGCGCAAGACUGAUGCAGCGACGCCGCGUGGGGGAUGACGGCAUUCGGGUUGUAAACUCCGUUCGCUAGGGACGAAGCUUUUUGUGACGGUACCUAGAUAAGAAGCACCGGCUAACUACGUG
RNAcentral lists this ribosomal RNA (465 nucleotides) under uncultured bacterium. Its description in RNAcentral is "partial 16S ribosomal RNA". It matches the Rfam family "Bacterial small subunit ribosomal RNA", at positions 28 to 507 of the family's 1533-position model. The record is from RNAcentral.